AGAGUUUGAUCAUGGCUCAGAACGAACGCUGGCGGCGUACUUAACACAUGCAAGUCGGACGAGAAAUUCCGAUUCGUCGGGAGAGUAAGGUGGCGAACGGGUGAGUAACACGAGGGUAAUCUACCCUUAAAUUAGGGAUAACCUUGCGAAAGCGAAGCUAAUACCUGAUAAGACUACGAUCUCCAAGGGGAUAGUAGGAAAAGAUGGCCUCUGUUUCAUGCUAUUGUUUAAGGAUGAGCCCUUGCACUAUUAGCUUGUUGGUGGGGUAACGGCCCACCAAGGCUACGAUGGUUAGCUGGUCUGAGAGGAUGAUCAGCCACACUGGAACUGAGACACGGUCCAGACUCCUACGGGAGGCAGCAGUGAGGAAUAUUGCGCAAUGGGGGAAACCCUGACGCAGUGACGCCGCGUGAGCGAUGAAGGCUUUCGAGUCGUAAAGCUCUGUUAGGUGGAAAGAAACAUUCCAGUGCCAAUACCACUGGAAUUUGACGGUACCACCAGAGGAAGCACCGGCUAACUCCGUGCCAGCAGCCGCGGUAAUACGGAGGGUGCAAGCGUUGUUCGGAUUUACUGGGCGUAAAGGGCGUGUAGGCGGCUAAGCAAGUCAGGUGUGAAAUCCCUUGGCUCAACCAAGGAAGUGCAUUUGAAACUGCAUAGCUAGAGUACAGGAGGGGAAAGUGGAAUUCCCAGUGUAGAGGUGAAAUUCAUAGAUAUUGGGAGGAACACCAGUAGCGAAGGC
This 739-nucleotide ribosomal RNA is filed under the name uncultured bacterium. RNAcentral's name for it is "bacterial SSU rRNA". It matches the Rfam family "Bacterial small subunit ribosomal RNA", at positions 8 to 722 of the family's 1533-position model. The record is from RNAcentral.